Long non-coding RNA from Brassica rapa (field mustard), 11679 nucleotides. RefSeq lists it as uncharacterized. Lineage: Eukaryota; Viridiplantae; Streptophyta; Magnoliopsida; Brassicales; Brassicaceae. The record is from RefSeq and is a predicted model, not a curated record.
CAAAAAAAUAUUUAAAUAGUAAAAAAUAUGUUAAUUUAACGUGUUAAAAUUUAAAAAUAAAUUUUAAUUAUGACAUGCAUUUUAACAUUUAUAUAAAUAUAAAUCAUAGCCUAAAUAUAAAUAAUUUAACAACUUAAAUUAGAAAAAAAUAAAAAUCCCGGGCGUAGCCCAGGUUAAUCCCUAGUCUAUUAUAUAAUAUGAUAGUUUCUCUCCUCCUGAAUGCGACACGUCAGCGGUCUGUGGGUCCCACUUUUUAAAAGUGUGAAAAAAUGUCAAAUAUGUGGUUCAAACCCGGGUUAUUGAGAUAUAAGCACUCACAACUAUACCAUUGCACUAAAGGAUAUUUUGUACAUUGAUGGUCGAAACUAAUAUAUAUUAUAAAGGUCGGAAACUAAUAUAACAUUGUGAACCCCACCUCUUUUUUUUUUUUUAACUGAUGGGUAACGAAUGGACUUCGACAAAAAGUGGGCUUUGGGUUUAUUGAUUUUCUGUUUAUUAGGCUUUGUAUCUGCCCAAAGUGGUGAUACGGACAAAGCUAAGAAGAUUAGGGAAGCCGCCAUCUUCACCAUCUCCUUCGUCACUAUUAUGGUCGAUCUUUAAGGCUCUACGCACGUUUUGCAUCCACCAAACGCUUAGUUUCUCCUCUAACGCCUUCAGAGCUCUCAUAGAAUCCCUCAAGGUAAAAGCUCCAUCUUGUCUCGAACUUUUCUUUCUCAGUUUUCCGAUCGCUUUACUUUCUCACAUCCAUCACGAAAAUGACUUAUCCAGCUGCUCCAGCCGCUUCAGCCGCCGUUCCCUACUCCACCUUCAACUCUCUCCGCCUUGGAAGGUCCACUCAGUCCAUUGUUGGUCGGCUCAUCCGAUUCUAGGAUUCCAGGAACAUUAACAAGAUUGGAGAGUUUAUGGGCAUCACCAUUCUCCUCCUUGAUGAACUGGUGAUGAUUGUUUCUAAUUUAUUUUUUAUCACUUUAACUCUGCUUUGCUUAUUCUUUGUUCAUAUAUGAAACGUGUCUUCAUCUUUUUGUUUUGGUUUUGUCUAUGGGUUUUCUUAUGAACAACUAAUGAUUUUUCUCUGUUUUUUAACAUGAUUCUGUGAUCUACGGUUUCAUCCCUGCAAUCUCCAAACAAAACAAGGAAACUGAAUGAAUUAUGUUUUUAGCAACUGAAUCUAAAAGAAAUAAAAGACAUCUUACUUAACAAAUUAAAACCUUUUUCUUUUGCAGAUUCCGACGACGACGAAGCACCCGAAGACCAACGACAAUGGAAUGAUGCGGACAAAGCCUAACUGACGUAAGUAAACUCCUCUUCAAUAACGCAUCACACUAUUAUCGCUCCCCAAUCUCACAAACUUAAGCUCUAAUCAUGCCAGGGAUCCCACAGGUGAUGCUGUCCCGACGACGGAAAAAAGAAAGAAAGAUAAACUAACGUUUUUUUUUAUUUUCAGUUUUUAAGUUCAAAUCAUGUUUUAUACAUAUAGCCCAAUAUAAUAUGAUCCCAAACAUUUUAAACCCACAAAUAUUUUUUUAUUAUGUAAAAAACGUCAACCUUCGUUUAUGUUUUGUUAAACUAUUUUAAUCUUUAUGUUCUGUUAAACUAUUUCACACAGGGGACAGAUCUUCUUAGAAGAGGAGCCACUUGCCACGAUGCUUCCAGUUUCACCAUUCUUGACUCUUAUGAACCACAAAGCCAAUAUAAGAGCUUUGUUUCAAUCCAACGGCUGGAUUUUGUCACAAACCACCGCUAAGCCUGAAGAGGGAAGAGAAGUGGAGUGCUGCGUUUUGGAAGAUGGUUACUUGGAGUUUACAAGAUGAAGAUGGAACCCGUGACGAGGAAGACGAGGAGAAGUGUUACAUGGAAUAUCCUAACGUUGAGGAUAUAGACAAUGUGUGAUCUUAGCGAUAAAGAUUAGUGUAGCUUUAAUAUAUGCUACUACGGUCCUUGAGCUCCCUAACAAGUACUAGCAAACAAUGUGUAUUUUGAAAAAAUAAAAUAAUUUUGUAAUGCAAGUAAUUUAAAACUUUGAGUAUUUAUUCAAACAACGGAUAUAUACAGAGUUGAUAACUUGAUAUGGACCCCCAAAUAAGUUGGUGCUGCGCUGUCACAAUAUCUGUCUUUUUAAUUUCAUAUACCUGAUGUAAGCUUCUUCAUCUUCUUCUUUUUCCCUUUCCGUUGUUCCACGCUCUCUAUUUCAUGUUUAAGCCUUUUUUACAUUCUCUAUAUUUUACCUUAAUUAUACUUUUUGAAUUUUCUUUCCGUUUUGGCAGAUGUCUCUAACUUGACUUAAUCGUCAAAAGCUAGGAUCAAUUUUGUUGUCUUACUUCUGAUAAAUUUUAUUCUUUAAUUUGCACAAAUCUUAAGCAACACCAACAUCCCGUAAAUCACACCACCCCACCGAUAUCCAAAGUAACCAGCGCCGCGCUUGCACGGAGUCUCAGCACCUAGUAUAAUCAAAUUGGGCGAUGGAGCAAUGAAACCGAAGAAUAAAAAAAAUUCUAUAAUAUAGAUGAUUUUUAUUCUAAUAUGCUUUUCAAACACUCUCUCUUUUCUUUUUGGCGCUUUAAACUAGAGAAGUCUUUACCCACUGGUUCUUAAGAUUGUUUCGAAGUUGACUUACCAGUUUUAGUAAGAUUCCCUGCAAAUUCCUCAAGUUUUUCAAACGCACUUUCCUUUCUCAGUAAAACCUACUGAUCCCCUGUAGUCACUAGUUAUUAACCGUCAGCUCUUUCGUCCUCCGCCGGUGAACCAGCUCUCGACUACUUCCUCGAUGACGAUGUACUUUGGUUAUGAGCUAAUGGAGGAUAUGGAGGACCCUCACAGAAGCCGACGACUAGCUUUCUUCACUGCUUAAGCUCGAACCUCGGAGUCGACUGAAACUCCUCCGAACGGAAGUCUUGAGUAGAAGACAGCCCUACGCUCCUCUGUUUCUGCUUCCCCUUUACUCUUCUGCUGGUUACUGUCGCCGCUUUCUCUAUAAAUCGAGAUUAUCAUCGUUACUUUUCUCUGCUACUUCAUAACCGGCUGUAAGAUGGAAAGACGGUUCACCAUUGAGGAAAAAGGCAAAAUCAUUGCUGUAAAUCAAGCCGAACCACACCGCUUGAGAAUCCGAGCUCCGGAGUUCAACCCCUCUGAACUGAUACGGGAUAAUGCUCUCACCCUUAUAGGCCGUCUGACAAACCCGAGAUAACAUAACAUGGUCACUGUACUCUCCUACUUGCCUAAGAAAUGGAAUCUGCUUGGUAUAGUUGCAGGCUCUGAGCUUGGAGAUGAUUGUUUCCAAUUCAGGUUUGAGGAUGAAGCAGAUCUCCGACGAGUUCUAAACGAGAGACCCUAUCAGUAUGGUCAAUGGAUGAUUAUCAUCCAGCGUUGGGAUCAGAUAUACUCUCCCACUUUUCCGUCCCAAUUACCCUUUCGGAUCAACAUCAAAGAGAUACCUCUCCAUUACUGGCAUGAAAAAGUGCGUAAGAACACCGGCUUGGAGCUUGGAGGUUUAGAGGACUACCAGCUCACUAAAUCUUCUGCAAGAAUUCGACUACUCAUGGAUGGCUUACAGCCUAUCAUCAAGGACCAAAUCCUCGAUUUUAACUCAGGUGAGGAAACCACCCUGGUACUGGAUUAUGAAAACCUUGGAAACCACUGCUCCCUCAGCAACUGCCUGACUCAUCUAAGAUUGUACUGCCUAGAUCGAAAGCAUGCAAACAAUCGUCUCAACGAUACAACCCUCCCCUCUACUUUUGAGCGAUCGAGAAACUUCAAUAACAACGGUUCCCAAAGACUACAAUCAACUAGAGCUGCUGAGGAUGCAAGAGGGGACGUGGUUGCAAAUGAUCAAUUUAUACCGUCUCUACUACCGUGGGAAUAAGGAACAUAAUCACACCGGCCCCUAAUAGACCUGCUGAGAGUAAAAUUCCAGAGAGACAACACAGAGAUUAUCCCAGUAUAUACUAUUAUGGUAGCUCUCCUCCUUACUCGACAAGUAGAGGCCAUAGACGCUCACAACAAGAUGAACUACGCAGAGACUCUUCAUCAGCCUUAUCGCCACGUCAGCAAGGGAACACUCAGUGGAGAGUUAAACAACCAACGGCGGAUAUGACGGGGGCUGCCCCCCAAAAUUCACUAGAGAGUGCUAGACCAGCGGUGGGUAGGAAUCUUGAGAUCCACGACUUCCCCCGAUCCCAUCAAAAGAGCAAGUUAUGGACGAUCUUCAACAGGCUACCUACAGGUAUACAAGUUGUGCAGACCCCACGGAGAGCACUGCUCGCAAACAGAGGGUUCUUGUGAGCGAUGCCCAAGGAGAUAUAGAAGUAGCUCCUCAACGUAUCAUCAAUGCAGCCAUUGAAACACAGGCCAUACAAGCACAACUCCUUGCGCAACAUAUGGUACUACCUCCUGCUGUUAUACCUGCUCCCAGUGAGCCAGUUUCUAAUGUUCAAGACCCACGAUAAUCGACUACUGUCAUCACCGGGAAGAAGUGAGGAAGACCAGCAAAACCUAAGGAUAAGCCCAAGGACAUACGCAUUAGCCCAAAGACCAUUGUUGGGUCCUCGUCCCGUCGCCGUAUUUUGUCAAUUGUUCAAGCAUCCCCGGGAACAGCUGCUGGAUCGCAGCAAGGGAGAAGAGUCGUGCGUCCUGCUACUACGUCACGAAGAAAAACCUAAUCUCAAACAUCAACUGUACAACUUCCUCCUCUACCACCAACAAGAGAUGGAGACACAUCAGGAGACUCACCGGUGUAUUUUCGCCGGUCUCCUCCCCAUCUUCCUCAGCUUUACUUAGCUAGAACUAUUGUGGGUUGGGGAACCCCAUAACAGUCUAGCAAUUAAGAGAGAUCGACAAGAAACACUCUCCCGAUAUUAUGUUCCUCAUGGAAACAAAGAAUGCUGAUAAUGUUGUGCUUGAUAAAUUAAAAGAUCUAAGAUUUGAUUCGCAUUUUUUUUGUUUCUGCUACUGAUACUGGAAGUUGAGGUCUUUUCUUGUUAUGGAAAAAUGCUUUAAAUAUUCAGAUAUUAUCUUUCAGCAAGAAUCUCAUCGACACCUUGGUGACCCACAAAGGUGCUUCCUUCCAUGCCUCUUUUAUUUACAGAGAACCUGAAGUCUGCAACCGACAUGCAACCUGGAAAUGCUUAUCUCACACUUUUGACAACCGUGCUACCCCAGGUUUUUCACUUUGGAUAUUAAUGAAAUUAUUCAGAACAAAGAGAAAUCUGGAGGGCCUCUUCGAGCAGAAGGAACGUUUGGAGCUUUUAGAAGCUUCCUUGCACAACACGACUUGUUUGAUCUGAAGCAUUCAUGCAAUUUUCUGUCGUGGCGAGGGAAGCGGGGAACCCACCUUGUAUACUGCAGACUCAACAGGGCCCUAGGUAACGGUAACUGUUCAGAUGUCUUCGCCAAUGGCUGAUGCCAAUAUCUGGAGUUUCAGGGGCCGGAUCACCAUCCAUUGAUGUCUUUCUUCGAAGCGAAACGCCGGACAAAAUCUUCUAUAUUCCGAUUUGACAGAAGACUUCGGGAUAACGUGAAAAUCAAGCAACUAGUUGCUGCGACAUGGCAUGCCCAUUCUGAAACGACAGUACACCACCGUCUCUCGUAUUGCAGGAAAGCCAUUGUAUCCUGGAGUAGAGAGAAAGCAAGGAACAGUAUAUUCAAGAUUGAGCGCAUUCAGAAAGAGCUUAACGAGAAUAUGACCAAUCCGAAUGGGUGUGAGAAUUAGAUAUUGAGACUGAAUGCCGAGCUUUUAGCGGCCUACAGAGCAGAAGAAGAAUUUUGGCACCAACGAAGUCGUCUCAUGUGGCUUGUAGCACCAGAUUCUUUCAUGUGAUAGCUAAAUGAAGAGGGGCUCGAAACAGAAUUUUGGGGUUAGAAGAUGCUUCAGGGAAGGUUCUGUUGGAAGAGGGACACAUAGCCACGGAGAUAGCUUCUUACUUCCAGAGCAUUUUCUCAUCGAACACUUCUGGCUCAGACGAUGCUUAAGCAUGUCUUAUCUGCUAUUCCUACUCAUGCUAGCACCUGCUUCGAACUCCCGAUGAGCCUAUGUAAGCGAAUCCAAUCGGCACUCACUAGAUUCUGGUGGGACUCAGCGGAUAAGAAGAAAAUUUGUUGGAUAGCUUGGAGCAAAAUUACAUUGCCAAAAAUCAUGGGAGACCUUGGUAUUAGAGAUAUUCAGCUCUUUAAUAUAGCUUUACUGGCCAAGCAAGCCUGGCGGUUAGUCUCAACACCUGAUUGUCUACUCUCUCGGAUUCUAUUGGGUAAGUAUUGGCAAAACAGAAGUUUUCUCGACCUACCUCCUACUCCGUCAUCGUCUCACGGGUGGAUAAGUGUCCUUUUGGGACGCGACCUUCUGGUAACCAACCUGGGAAAAGUUAUUGGAGAUGGAAACUCAACCAUAGUGUGGCAGGAUCGCUGGAUCUUAAAUGGAAGUAUUGGACGCCCAUUUGGACCACCGAUUGAGAUGGAUCAAGAUCUUAUGGUUGCUGACUUAUUAAGAAGAGGUUCCAACGAGUGGAAUGUUCCUAAAGUUAAAUCCUUGUUCCCACUCAUCUCAAAGAAAAUUCUCAGCAUCUCCCCGAGCACAUUAGGAGCUAAUGAUGCCUUCGUCUGGACACCUACCAAGGAUGGAGUCUAUUCAACUAAGCCAGGGUAUUUCGUAGCGAUGAAGAACAGAGCAGCUCUCGACAAUGAAACGGAUUCAUCACUCGAGUUGGAAUGGACGAAAAAAGAUCUCGGGAUCACCCUGCCUCCCAAACAUUAAACUCUUUAUGUGGAAAUUGGUUAAAGGUGCUUUAGCACUAGGAGCUAACUUGGAAAACUGAGGUUGUGGGCCUGUUCUCUGCCCGAGAUGUGGAGAAAAAGAAACUGCUGAGCACCUCAUACUUCAUUGGUUUGCUAGAGAAGUCUGGAUGGAAGCUCCAUUCAAUGGUAUGAUUGCGUUCGACCAGUUCACAUCAUUGAAGGAAGCUAUGGCUGCCAGAAUUAAACUGAAUUGUCUCCCUCCAACUGGAGUAACAUCACAUGUUUUUCUAUGGAUCUGCUGGAGCCUAUGGACAGCGAGAAGUAAACUAAUCUUCGAGAACAAGGCUCUUACACCUUCUGAAGUUAUCCACACUGCCAGUAGUAGUGCUAGGGAAUGGAAUCUGGCACAAACCACGCUAACAAGCACAACCACAAGCACAGAUUCAUACACUCGCUCUGCAGUACCCGCCCACAUCGAGAGCCAUGAUUGUGUCUCAAUCUUUACAGAUGCAGCUUGGCGUCCUACCAACGGAGUUACAGGUUUUGGAUGGAUUCUCAAGGAACCGAUACUGACCGCUACUCAGCAUGGUUCUAGAUGCUUCGAUUACAUCCCAUCGGCCCUGGUAGGGGAAAGUUUAGCAGUUCGUUUGGCCCUCUCCCACGCAUUGUCUUCUAGUUUCUCCAAAGUCUGUGUGUUCUCAGAUUGUCAGGUGCUCAUCAGAGAACUUUCUUCGAAGUCACCACCGGUAAAACUCUACGGAAUCUCCCGUGACAUCGAUAUCCUAUCCUCCUUGUUUGAAUCUUUCUCUUUGUCUUUUAUUUUUAGAUCCUUGAACUCUGAGGCGGGCCUUCUCGCUAAGGGUGCUAUUUGUAAUGUUACUUUCUCCACAUGAUGAUUUUCUUGUGCUCUUUAAAUUAAUCUAAGUGUUUGGUGUUCAAAUAAAAAAAUAAAAUAUAGAGGAAUACUAUUCUUCUUCUAUAAAUAGAAGAAAAAUAGUAAUUUUUAUUUGAGAAAAAAAUAGAAAUGAGUUAGAGUGAUUUCAACUCUAAAUAAUAUUAUAUAGGCAAAUAUAAAGGUUGUCAGAGAUGGCCUAACAAACCAGAAACGAAGGUUGAAUGAUUUAUCUUUAAAAUUAAUGAUUGAUGGGCAGAGAGACAUUUAAAGGGGGAAGUAAUGUAUAUUUUGUUUUGAAGUCUUUUGUGUGUGUUUUAUGCAAAUUUCUCAACAUUUUAGUGUCUUGUAACUUCCGUUCGCUUCAAUGUUCCAGCAAUCUCUGCUUCCAUCUCAGUUUUGUGUUUUUAAGGAUUUGAUUCAAAUGACUAUGUUUCAAACUUUACCCUUCUUAAAUCCAAAUAAAACGCUCUAGUCUUUGAUCUUCAUAGUCUAAGCCUUAAAGGGUUCCAAGUUCCUCUAACUGGCUAAUUAUACAAGUAGAGAGAAUUUCAUGUUGGAUAAUCCUUUAAUUAAGAUAUAACCGUACAGAUUAAUUAUUAUUUUCAAACCGGCCUAGCCCAAUAAGGAAAUUGAUAGAUUGCUACCCAAUACAAAUACAAAAUGUGAAAAUAUUGACCCAAUUUUCAAAUCUCAUGUGAAGCCCAAAUAUUUAUUUUAUUCGUAAAACAUUGAUAAACCGAUCCAUUUAAGAAAGAAAACGGUUUAAAACCACAUCACUCUCAAUUUUUUUCAUCCUUGCCUCGACAAUUCUAUGAAUAAUUCAUAUUUUCAUAUGCAUAGAGUAAAGCUAAACUGUAUUAUCUAUUUGUUUCCCAAAUAUUUGACCAGUAAGAAUAUGUUGUGAAAUUUCUCAAGACUUCAUCCCCAUUAAUAGAUCCUCAAUUUGCUUUCACUACAACAUUUAUUAUGAAAUCUUAUCCAUUUAACAUUAUUCGCAGUGAGAUCCACAAAACUUAAGUUGUUGAUCCCUUAACCACAAUGUUUCAAGCAGUGGCGGAGCUAGCCUAUAAUCAUGUGGGUCAAAUGACCAGUAUGAAUUUUUGAAUUUUUUUUUUGCAUGUAUUACGUACAGAAACAUAUAAUGAGUUUUGUUUACUGACUCUCGUAAAACACUUGUAUCAUCAGUUUGACCUUUUUUUUUUGUCAAAAACAUUUCUUCCUUCGCCAUUGGUUUCAAGUUAGUGAAUUUGAGAGUCUUUUUUGUUUCAGCGUACUAGGCAAUGUGGAUGAAACCGACAUCCAGCCACUAAGCUUUUUUUGGUUUGACAAAUGGUGGGAAGGAGUCAAGGAGAUAAGACCUCCUAUAAAAGCAUCUCCAAAAGAAGUUAUAUAACUUUAAAUAUAGAGCUUUUUCCUCUACAAUAAGAAACUUUAAAACUUCAAAUUUGGAGUUUUGAGAAGUGAAACUUCAUAUUUGGAGUUUCACUACUCAAAACUCUAAAUUUGAAGUUUCAUCUUUUAUUUGCAUUUUAGUCCCAACAAUUAAUUACACAUCACAUUUAUGAUUAUUAAGUAUUUUUGUUUAUCGUUUUAAUCCUUAGAAUUUUUAUAUCUCAUAAAUAUUUCAAAUUUUUUUAAUAAAUUCAAAAUUUUCACAUAAAUUUAUAUAAAAAGUUAAAAUAAUAUUUUUAAUAUUUUAAAACUAGAAUUAGACAACAAGAAUAUUACAAAAAGAAACUUAAUAAUUUUUUUUAAAAAGAUACAUGAAGACAUAAUUAUUAAACAAGUUUAAAUAUUGCAACAAAACUAAUAGUCUGGUAAAAUUUCUCCGGAACCUCCAAAAUCUCUAAAAUAUUGUCCAAACAAAUUUUGUGUAACCGAAGAUGGACAUUGCGGAAAUAAUUUCAUGGAAUAAUGUGGUAUAUUUCUUGUAGUUUCAUAUUUUAUUAUGUAUGUAUUUUUAUAAUUUUAUAUAUUAGUGUAAUAUUUUAUUAAUUACUAUUGCUAUAAUAUUUUAUAUAUAUGUGUUGGUUAUUUAUAAAAGUUUUAUGGAUUUAUACUAAUUAUGAAAAAUAUAAAGACUAUAAUGCAAAAUACAAAUAAUUUUGAAAAGAAGAAUCAAUACUACCAUUUUUAGGGUUUUACGGCGUUUUAAACGCCUUAAGUCAUAAAAUUGAACUCGGCGGAAAAGAGGAAGAACUUACUGGUGGCGGAGUUCAUGAAGCCUGGUUUCAGAACUGAAAAAAGGAAGCGGAUGAUUAGCUUAGUCUACUAAACUACUCCUCGGGAUAAAGGAGAAACGAGAUUCAUUGUAAAAAGAGAGAUUACAGGCGGUGAGAACGACAUAAAAGAGAGAUUCGCCUCAGAUAGAAAUGGCGCUAAGGUUUCGUUCUUUUCAACAAAAAAAGUGAAAAAUAGUAUUUAUAUGUCCGGUAAAUUCUCUGGUUAAGUUUAAUGUACUUUGGUAAAAUCAAAGAUUCGGUAGAAGUCGUCCGGUAAAUACUAUUCAUUAGACGAUUUCCAUGAAAGUCGUCUACACCCUAAAUAAACCCUUAAACUUAAUUAACUAACUAAACACUUCAUUAAACUUAACUACAAUUUAAAAAGUGUUUAAUAAACGAAAACUAAACAUGUAUAGGUCACAUGUAGGUCAAAAUUUAGUUUUUCAAAAAAUAUUAUAAGCUUCCUAAAAACUAACUCUAACAAUACAUACAAUACUCCAACAUGUGUUGCCAAACCCUAAACCAAAAAAUAUCAUGAAUCACUACUUUCACUCAUCUAUGUUGAGAACAAUUCCAUUUUAUUAUAUUUAAUUUAUAUCACUUGCAACUAUUUAUAAUUACGUGAUUUCAAUUUUUUCCCUAUCAAAAUAUUUUUUUACAAAAUUUAUAAAUUAUUUUUAAUAUUAACUAUACUAGAAGACUUUCCUAGACGUCUUCCAGACGACUUAAAGUAUCUCAGAAGACUCAGAAGACUUUCUGGGACUAUAUUUGUAAAAGUGAGUUCUGGUUUUUUGUUUGGUCAUAAGGGGCUGGCUGUAAUUUCACAAGGCUUUUAGGUUAAUUUUACAAUUGAUUCAAGUUUGGUUAUAUAUAGUUUUGCAUUUAAAAUCAAGUUUUGAGUCAUAUUUGGCAAAUUUUCCAUAUUUCUUCUCUAUUAUGUAGGUCCAAUUUAAUUUGACUUCCAUAUACAUUUCAAACUUUAAAAAAAAGAAAAAUUAUGUAAAAUAGUAUUGUUACAUAAUAAUGUUCUCAAAAUAAUUUUUGUUACAAAAAUUUAUAGUAAUAACAAUAUAAGCCAUUUAAAUAUAUGCAUUAUAGAGUUAUAUCCCUUAUAUACUAAAGCACAAGUCACUCAACAAAUAAAUUUUUGACAUCUGGAAAAUGUUAAAAAAACAAAAAAAACAACUAAUUGAAAAGAAAAAUCUUCGAUCCCUAAUUAUCAGCACAUAUUGCCUAUGUUUUCUUAUAAUAUUUCAGCCACGUUCAAAAUCAGUUGACCACAAUUUUCAAACUGUUUUUUUUUCAUAUAUAUAAUUUUGAUCUAUUAAUUUACUCUUUGUUUGUUUUUUCAAUCUUCUCUGCACGGAUGUUUUCUCUUUCUUAAAGAUUUUAUGUUUUGGUUGGUUUUUUCUUUCUUUGCAAAAAAAGGAGAGAUUGAGUAUUAGUUUUUUUUUUUUGCCAAAAAGAGAGAUUGACUACACGAUUUGUUUGAAUUAAACAGGUUACUUCCUGUUUUUUUUUUUCCGUGGCAAUUCAAAUUUUAUUUAUUCAUCACCUGAAUUGAUACCCAAUCGAUAAAUACAGUAGAAUUAUGGAAGAAAUUGAUACUGGUAUGGUAUUUUUGAAGAGAUUUCAAUUUUAGUUAACUCCUGUAUAUAACUUAAAAACUUCUUCUAUCUAUUGAUUUACAGGUACUGUAGGUUACGGUUUGGAGAUGUGGCAUGGAGCAUAAUCAAAAUUAUUUGUGAAAGGGGAUUCGAGAGACAAAUGAUGUACCAUUAUUCCUAUAACAAUUGCGAAAGAGCCAACAGAAAGCCAAAGAGUUGCGAAAGAGGCAAA